Aotus nancymaae (Ma's night monkey) is the source of this 62-nucleotide small nuclear RNA. Its record names the gene U7. It matches the Rfam family "U7 small nuclear RNA". Rfam says of the family: Animal histone pre-mRNAs are spliced by a different mechanism than nuclear pre-mRNAs and self-splicing introns. The record is from Ensembl. NCBI's taxonomy places the organism in Eukaryota, Metazoa, Chordata, Mammalia, Primates, Aotidae.
GAGUGUUACAGCUCUUUUAGAAUUUGUCUAGCAGGCUUUCUGGGUUUUGCCAGAAAGCCCCC